AUGAAAAAUAAGAUAUUAAGAUUGCGUGCCUCAACGAACGACUGUAUUUUGUGCUCCAGUGCGGCUACUCCGAGUUCGAGCCAAACUCGGGUCCAGCGGGAUCAGAUAGUCGAGGCUCGUUGCCGGAGCGCACGGUUCAGGGCAGAGCACAGUGCGCGCGUCACCGAGAACGAGGACACCGGGAUCUUCGACGUUGUCAAUUUACCCCAUCCUCGAACUGCUGGUCCAGUAGUGAGCUCGCUCCUGCCAAUUCCUUUGCCCAACCUCGACUCCGGUCUUCUGUGCCCGUCUUACCUUCCCACCAUUACCUCGUUCUCUCGUCGUGAGCUCGCCGCCCGGCGUCGUUCUCUGCUCCUGCCAUUAGCCACUAUCGAAUCGGCUCGAGAGCCCAGGUCCCUCCAUUCCAAGCGGCUCUAUGUAUCAACUUGUACAAGGGGUUGUCUCGUCGGCUUCUCGCCAAACCGUCACCCGCCGUUGUCGUCGGCCUGCGCUGCGUAG
Molecule: ribosomal RNA, 498 nt
Filed under: Triticum aestivum (bread wheat)
Lineage: Eukaryota; Viridiplantae; Streptophyta; Magnoliopsida; Poales; Poaceae
Description: partial small subunit ribosomal RNA
Source: RNAcentral